GAUGAACGCUAGCGGCAGGCCUAACACAUGCAAGUCGAGGGGUAGCAGGAUUAAGCUUGCUUAAUUGCUGACGACCGGCGCACGGGUGCGUAACGCGUAUGCAACCUACCUUAUACUGGGGUAUAGUCCGGAGAAAUUCGGAUUAAUCCCCCAUAGUACUAAUGAAUCGCAUGGUUUAUUAGUUAAAGCAUUGCGGUAUAAGAUGGGCAUGCGUCCUAUUAGCUAGAUGGUGAGGUAACGGCUCACCAUGGCUACGAUAGGUAGGGGGCCUGAGAGGGUGGUCCCCCACACGGGUACUGAGACACGGACCAGACUCCUACGGGAGGCAGCAGUGAGGAAUAUUGGUCAAUGGGCGCAAGCCUGAACCAGCCAUGCCGCGUGCAGGAAGAAUGCCCUAUGGGUUGUAAACUGCUUUUAUUUGGGAAUAAACCUCUUUACGUGUAGAGAGCUGAAGGUACCAAAUGAAUAAGCACCGGCUAACUCCGUGCCAGCCGCCGCGGUAA
RNAcentral lists this ribosomal RNA (503 nucleotides) under uncultured bacterium. Its description in RNAcentral is "partial 16S ribosomal RNA". It matches the Rfam family "Bacterial small subunit ribosomal RNA", at positions 28 to 523 of the family's 1533-position model. The record is from RNAcentral.